GCCCCUGUAGCUCAGAGGAUAGAGCACCGGUUUCCUAAACCGGGUGUCCCGUGUUCGAAUCACGGCAGGGGCGCCA
Molecule: transfer RNA, 76 nt
Filed under: Chloroflexota bacterium
Lineage: Bacteria; Bacillati; Chloroflexota
Also listed under: 3 other names
Description: tRNA-Arg
Rfam family: tRNA
About the family: Transfer RNA (tRNA) molecules are approximately 80 nucleotides in length. Their secondary structure includes four short double-helical elements and three loops (D, anti-codon, and T loops). Further hydrogen bonds mediate the characteristic L-shaped molecular structure. tRNAs have two regions of fundamental functional importance: the anti-codon, which is responsible for specific mRNA codon recognition, and the 3' end, to which the tRNAs corresponding amino acid is attached (by aminoacyl-tRNA synthetases). tRNAs cope with the degeneracy of the genetic code in two manners: having more than one tRNA (with a specific anti-codon) for a particular amino acid; and 'wobble' base-pairing, i.e. permitting non-standard base-pairing at the 3rd anti-codon position.
Source: RNAcentral